RNAcentral lists this ribosomal RNA (253 nucleotides) under uncultured bacterium. Its description in RNAcentral is "partial 16S ribosomal RNA". It matches the Rfam family "Bacterial small subunit ribosomal RNA", at positions 524 to 776 of the family's 1533-position model. The record is from RNAcentral.
UACGUAGGGGGCAAGCGUUGUCCGGAUUUAUUGGGCGUAAAGAGCGUGUAGGCGGCUAGAUAGGUCCGUUGUGAAAACUCGAGGCUCAACCUCGAGACGUCGAUGGAAACCAUCUGGCUAGAGUCCGGGAGAGGAGAGUGGAAUUCCUGGUGUAGCGGUGAAAUGCGCAGAUAUCAGGAAGAACACCCGUGGCGAAAGCGGCUCUCUGGAACGGUACUGACGCUGAGACGCGAAAGCGUGGGGAGCGAACAGG